CCGGAGUUGCUAGUAAUCGCGAAUCAGAAUGUCGCGGUGAAUGCGUUCCCGGGUCUUGUACACACCGCCCGUCACACCAUGGAAGUUGGGGGUGCCCAAAGCCGGCAAGCAAAUAUGCUGUCUAAGGCAAAACCAAUGACUGGGGUGAAGUCGUAACAAGGUACC
RNAcentral lists this ribosomal RNA (165 nucleotides) under uncultured bacterium. RNAcentral describes it as "partial 16S ribosomal RNA". It matches the Rfam family "Bacterial small subunit ribosomal RNA", at positions 1326 to 1500 of the family's 1533-position model. The record is from RNAcentral.